UGCCCAGAUGGGAUUAGCUAGUUGGUGAGGUAACGGCUCACCAAGGCGACGAUCCCUAGCUGGUCUGAGAGGAUGACCAGCCACACUGGAACUGAGACACGGUCCAGACUCCUACGGGAGGCAGCAGUGGGGAAUAUUGCACAAUGGGCGCAAGCCUGAUGCAGCCAUGCCGCGUGUAUGAAGAAGGCCUUCGGGUUGUAAAGUACUUUCAGCGGGGAGGAAGGUGUUGUGGUUAAUAACCGCAGCAAUUGACGUUACCCGCAGAAGAAGCACCGGCUAACUCCGUGCCAGCAGCCGCGGUAAUACGGAGGGUGCAAGCGUUAAUCGGAAUUACUGGGCGUAAAGCGCACGCAGGCGGUCUGUCAAGUCGGAUGUGAAAUCCCCGGGCUCAACCUGGGAACUGCAUUCGAAACUGGCAGGCUUGAGUCUUGUAGAGGGGGGUAGAAUUCCAGGUGUAGCGGUGAAAUGCGUAGAGAUCUGGAGGAAUACCGGUGGCGAAGGCGGCCCCCUGGACAAAGACUGACGCUCAGGUGCGAAAGCGUGGGGAGCAAACAGGAUUAGAUACCCUGGUAGUCCACGCCGUAAACGAUGUCUACUUGGAGGUUGUGCCCUUGAGGCGUGGCUUCCGGAGCUAACGCGUUAAGUAGACCGCCUGGGGAGUACGGCCGCAAGGUUAAAACUCAAAUGAAUUGACGGGGGCCCGCACAAGCGGUGGAGCAUGUGGUUUAAUUCGAUGCAACGCGAAGAACCUUACCUGGUCUUGACAUCCACAGAACUUUCCAGAGAUGGAUUGGUGCCUUCGGGAACUGUGAGACAGGUGCUGCAUGGCUGUCGUCAGCUCGUGUUGUGAAAUGUUGGGUUAAGUCCCGCAACGAGCGCAACCCUUAUCCUUUGUUGCCAGCGGUUAGG
RNAcentral lists this ribosomal RNA (909 nucleotides) under Salmonella enterica subsp. enterica serovar Hadar. RNAcentral's name for it is "bacterial SSU rRNA". It matches the Rfam family "Bacterial small subunit ribosomal RNA", at positions 228 to 1129 of the family's 1533-position model. The record is from RNAcentral. Lineage: Bacteria; Pseudomonadati; Pseudomonadota; Gammaproteobacteria; Enterobacterales; Enterobacteriaceae.